RNAcentral lists this ribosomal RNA (295 nucleotides) under uncultured bacterium. RNAcentral describes it as "partial 16S ribosomal RNA". It matches the Rfam family "Bacterial small subunit ribosomal RNA", at positions 775 to 1067 of the family's 1533-position model. The record is from RNAcentral.
GGAUUAGAUACCCUGGUAGUCCACGCCGUAAACGAUGGGUACUAGAUGCUGGGUCUAUAGACGGAUUCGGUGUCGAAGUUAACGCAUUAAGUACCCCGCCUGGGGAGUACGGCCGCAAGGCUGAAACUCAAAGGAAUUGACGGGGGCCCGCACAAGCGGUGGAGCAUGUGGUUUAAUUCGAAGCAACGCGAAGAACCUUACCCAGGCUUGACAUCUUAGUGAAAGCCUUUGGAAACAUUGGCCCUUCUUCGGAACACUAUGACAGGUGCUGCAUGGCUGUCGUCAGCUCGUGUUG